CGGGGUGUAGCGCAGCCUGGUAGCGCGCUUCGUUCGGGACGAAGAAGGGGGAGGUUCGAAUCCUCUCAUCGCGACCA
This 77-nucleotide transfer RNA is filed under the name Gammaproteobacteria bacterium. RNAcentral describes it as "tRNA-Pro". It matches the Rfam family "tRNA". From Rfam's summary of the family: Transfer RNA (tRNA) molecules are approximately 80 nucleotides in length. Their secondary structure includes four short double-helical elements and three loops (D, anti-codon, and T loops). Lineage: Bacteria; Pseudomonadati; Pseudomonadota; Gammaproteobacteria. The record is from RNAcentral.